AGCAUCCUACUCUUGAUUUGGGCUCAGGUCACGAUCUCACAGUUAGUGGGUCGAGCCCUGUGACAGGCUCUGCGCUGACGUUGCAGAGCCUGCUUGGGAUUCUUUCUCUGCCCCUCCCCUACUCACUCGUACUCUCUCCCAAAAUAAAUAAAUAAACAUUUUUUUUUUUUUAAAGAAGAGUCUGUUCCUUGAUUUAUCACUCUUUUUUCCUGUGUUCAUCUGUUUUGGUUCUUUUUUUUUUUUUUUUUUUUUAAUUUUUUUUAAUGUUUUAUUUAUUUUUGAGACAGAGAAAGAGCAUGAGCAGGGGAGGGGCAGAGAGAGAGGGAGACACAGAAUCCGAAGCAGGCUCCAGGCUCUGAGCUGUCAGCACAGAGCCCGACGCAGGGCUCAAACUCAAGAACCGCAAGAUCGUGACCUGAGCCGAAGUCGGACACCCAACCGACUGAGCCACCCAGGCGUCCCUUUCUGUUUUGGUUCUUAAGGUUUUGUUUGUUAAAUUUCACAUAUGAGUGGAAACUUAAGGUUUUCAUCUUUCUCUGUGGCUUAUUUUGCUUAGCAUUAUACACUCCACCUCCCACCAUGUUGUUGCAAAUGACAAGAGUUCAUUCCUUUUGAUAGCUGGAUAGUACUCCAUUGUAGCUAUAUUCCACGUAUUCUUUUUUUUUUUUUUUUUUUAAACGUUUAUAUAUUUUUGAGAGAGAGAGAACGCAAACGGGAGGGGCAGAGAGAGGCAGAGGAUUCGAAGCAGGCUGCACGCUGAUAGCGGAGAGCCCAAUGUGGAGUUCGAACUCAGGAACCACGAGAUCAUGACCUGAGCUCAAGUCGGAUGCUUAACCGACUGAGCCACCAGAAGCCCUCCACAUAUUCUUUAUCCAUUUAGCAGUCGAUGGGCAUGUGGACUGUUUCAUAAUUUGGCUGCUGUAAGUAAUGGAGCAGCAAACAUAGUGGUGCAUGUAUCCCUUUGAAUUAGUGUUCUUAUAUUUUUUGGGGAGAUAGAUACCCAGUAUGUGGAUCAUAGUGGAAGAAGUGUGUAGGGUUUGGAAAAAAACUUUUUUAUGUUUAUUGAUUUUUGAGAGAGUGUGAGCAGGGGAGGGGCAGAGAGGGAGACAGAGGAUCCGAAGCGGGCUCUGUGCUGACAGCAGCAAGCCCGACAUAGGGCUCGAACUCACAAACUGUGAGAUGAUGACUGGAGCCGAAGUCGGACGCUCAGCUGAUUGAGCCCCCCAGGUGCCCCAGAAGUGUGUAGUUUUAAUGUCCACAUACUUAGGGACUUUCAGAUAUCUUUCUGUUACUGAUUUUCAGUUCACUUCUGUUACAACUGGGGACUAUGUAUACUUUCCGCUGUUUAAACUUUGUUAAGGUGGGCUGAGAGUCGUCUAGAUCUGUUAGCCUUACUGCUGUUUCUGACUGCUCUUUCCCUCAGGGAUACAGUUCUGAGAUCUCCAGCUGCCUCCUGAUCUGUUUCUCCUUUCAUGCUUUCUGAGGGGGUUUUUGUUAGGUGCCAGGAUCAUCACUAGAAGCUCCUUCCUUGGGGCUCCUUUCCAGGCAACCCCCUUCCAGGGGUAACCCUUCUUCUGACCUAUAAGAACUUGGAUUAGUUUUGUCUGGUUCUGUAUUUCACAUAAAUGGAAUCCUUUUGCACAUACUGUUGUUUUAGGGUUCUUACAUAAAACCUAAAAUUUGUGAGACAUGUUGUUGGGUAUGCUUAUAGAUCACUUAUUUGCAUUGCUGCAUUGUAUUUCUAAAAUGCUUUCUUUUUAAAUAAAAUAUUGAAAUGUACACACAUAA
Neofelis nebulosa (Clouded leopard) is the source of this 1788-nucleotide long non-coding RNA. RefSeq lists it as uncharacterized. Lineage: Eukaryota; Metazoa; Chordata; Mammalia; Carnivora; Felidae. The record is from RefSeq and is a predicted model, not a curated record. The transcript is spliced from 2 exons.